UACGUAGGGGGCAAGCGUUGUCCGGAUUUAUUGGGCGUAAAGAGCGUGUAGGCGGUUUGGUAGGUCCGCUGUGAAAACUCGAGGCUCAACCUCGAGACGCCGGUGGAAACCAUCAGGCUAGAGUCCGGAAGAGGAGAGUGGAAUUCCUGGUGUAGCGGUGAAAUGCGCAGAUAUCAGGAGGAACACCGGUGGCGAAGGCGGUUCUCUGGGCCUUACCUGACGCUGAGGAGCGAAAGCAUGGGGAGCGAACAGG
Molecule: ribosomal RNA, 253 nt
Filed under: uncultured bacterium
Lineage: Bacteria
Description: partial 16S ribosomal RNA
Rfam family: Bacterial small subunit ribosomal RNA
Source: RNAcentral